GUACUGAUGAACAGUCCAAACUAGGACGAAACAGCUGCCCAGUAC
RNAcentral lists this non-coding RNA (45 nucleotides) under Trichobilharzia regenti. Lineage: Eukaryota; Metazoa; Platyhelminthes; Trematoda; Strigeidida; Schistosomatidae. The record is from RNAcentral.